This 18-nucleotide small nuclear RNA is filed under the name Arabidopsis thaliana (thale cress). RNAcentral's name for it is "snRNA_18784". Lineage: Eukaryota; Viridiplantae; Streptophyta; Magnoliopsida; Brassicales; Brassicaceae. The record is from RNAcentral.
UUCUCUGAUCUUAAUAAA